This 510-nucleotide ribosomal RNA is filed under the name uncultured bacterium. RNAcentral describes it as "partial 16S ribosomal RNA". It matches the Rfam family "Bacterial small subunit ribosomal RNA", at positions 28 to 507 of the family's 1533-position model. The record is from RNAcentral.
GACGAACGCUGGCGGCGUGCUUAACACAUGCCAGUCGAACGAAGAGCGAUGGAAGCUUGCUUCUAUCAAUCUUAGUGGCGAACGGGUGAGUAACGCGUAAUCAACCUGCCCUUCAGAGGGGGACAACAGUUGGAAACGACUGCUAAUACCGCAUACGAUCUAAUCUCGGCAUCGAGGAUAGAUGAAAGGUGGCCUCUACAUGUAAGCUAUCACUGAAGGUGGGGAUUGCGUCUGAUUAGCUAGUUGGAGGGGUAACGGCCCACCAAGGCGAUGAUCAGUAGCCGGUCUGAGAGGAUGAACGGCCACAUUGGGACUGAGACACGGCCCAGACUCCUACGGGAGGCAGCAGUGGGGAAUCUUCCGAAAUGGACGAAAGUCUGACGGAGCAACGCCGCGUGAGCGAUGACGGCCUUCGGGUUGUAAAGCUCUGUUAAUCGGGACGAAAGGCCUUCUUGCGAAUAGUGAGAAGGAUUGACGGUACCGGAAUAGAAAGCCACGGCUAACUACGUG